This 332-nucleotide unclassified non-coding RNA is filed under the name soil metagenome. Its description in RNAcentral is "partial contains 5.8S ribosomal RNA, internal transcribed spacer 2, and large subunit ribosomal RNA". The stretch from base 1 to 120 matches the Rfam family "5.8S ribosomal RNA", at positions 35 to 154 of the family's 154-position model. The record is from RNAcentral.
GAUGAAGAACGCAGCGAAAUGCGAUAAGUAGUGUGAAUUGCAGAAUUCAGUGAAUCAUCGAAUCUUUGAACGCACAUUGCGCCCUUUGGUAUUCCUUAGGGCAUGCCCGUUCGAGCGUCAUUUAAACCUUCAAGCUAAGCUUGGUGUUGGGUGACUGUCCGCUUCACUGCGGACUCGCCUCAAAAUUAUUGGCGGCCGGUACAUUGGCUUCGAGCGCAGCAGAAACGCGAACUCGGGCCCGUCGUAUUGGCUCCCAGAAGCUAUCUUCACAAUUUUGACCUCGGAUCAGGUAGGGAUACCCGCUGAACUUAAGCAUAUCAAUAAGCGGAGGA